RNAcentral lists this transfer RNA (77 nucleotides) under Puniceicoccales bacterium. RNAcentral describes it as "tRNA-Pro". It matches the Rfam family "tRNA". Rfam says of the family: Transfer RNA (tRNA) molecules are approximately 80 nucleotides in length. Their secondary structure includes four short double-helical elements and three loops (D, anti-codon, and T loops). Lineage: Bacteria; Pseudomonadati; Verrucomicrobiota; Opitutia; Puniceicoccales. The record is from RNAcentral.
CGGGGCGUAGCUUAGCCUGGCAGAGCGUUACGUUAGGGACGUAAAGGUCGCUGGUUCAAAUCCAGUCGCCCCGACCA